RNAcentral lists this long non-coding RNA (435 nucleotides) under Mytilus galloprovincialis (Mediterranean mussel). The record is from RNAcentral. Lineage: Eukaryota; Metazoa; Mollusca; Bivalvia; Mytilida; Mytilidae.
ACAAAAAAAGUUAUGUUUGUCCUGUUUUAGUAAAAUCUUUUUGAAAAAAACAUGAAGAUCUGCCAGAUCUGGUCACAAAUACAUGUACAUGAUGUAUGAAAAGAAGAUUAUUACAUCAAUAAAUAAUGAACUGGUAACAUUCACAAAAAAAGACUGAAUGACCAGCAUUCACAGUAGGUACUAAAGGUGCAAUACCAACUUUCCCAAGACGGUACAAAAUGACCAGCAUUCACAAAUAGAGGUACUAAAGGUGCAAUACCAACUUUCCCAAGACGAUACAGAAUGACCAGCAUUCACAAAUAAGACAACACAAAAUAUUACCUGUAUCAUUAAAACAUGAAAUAAGAUACCAAAGAAUGACAUGUAAUAGAGCACAUCUUUCUAGGUAAACACAUGUUUGUGUUAACUAUACUAAACAUUCAAUCUUUAAAAACU